GGGAGCGGGGCCGGCGGCGGGGCGGCUCGGGGGAAACCUGCCGGGGCUGGACAUCUCCGCGGGGAGGGAGCGGCGCGUACCGAGUACCAGCGCCGGUGGCUGCCUCCCCUCGCUCUAAGGUUGGCGUUACGUGCGGGUCUCCCACCGCCAGGUGCUGGAGCUGGAUGGUUGUCGUGACUGACACAGCUGACGCUGCCCCAGCCCUGGAGGUUAAAUGCUGAGCCCGGCUGUGUGUGAGGGCCCGCUUCGUUCCUGCACCGGCUCCCUCGGGAGCAGAUGUGGCGGGGCAGACACUCCAGGGAUGUUGUUGGCACACGGAGCCAGCCCCGCCCGCAGCGACACACGCAGCGCUCAGGCAAGAGCAGAUCCAGAACAAAACCCUCAUGUUGACUGGCAGCACACUGGAAAUCUAGAAGGGACUCAGUGGCCUCUAAAGGAAAUAUAGUUUUAAAUCCUGCCCUGCCUCCCUCUGAAACCUGCAGUGACUUUACUUUGAACUGCAAGGGAGUGAUAUCGAUUCUCAGCUGAUGUCACAGUGCCAAUAAACACGGUCCAUUCAGAGGAAGGGAAAGAAAGCCUGUCUUGACACUGCAAGACCUGUGUGUGCUCAACCAGACAAAGAGAAAAUAUUAGCUUCUGAGGAUCCAUCCUUUCAUUGCAGUUCUUCAAAGAACUGUGGAUCUGAGAUGCCCUUCAUGAAUUUGCUUAUAUCAUGAGCAAAGAAACAGGAGAAGAGCCAUGCUUGUUUUUUCUCACAUUGAAGCCAAGAAAAAAACAAACUGAUUGAAGAAAAACUGAUGGUAUUUUUCU
This is a long non-coding RNA of Empidonax traillii (willow flycatcher), 810 nucleotides long. RefSeq lists it as uncharacterized. The record is from RefSeq and is a predicted model, not a curated record. The transcript has 2 exons. NCBI's taxonomy places the organism in Eukaryota, Metazoa, Chordata, Aves, Passeriformes, Tyrannidae.